This 468-nucleotide ribosomal RNA is filed under the name uncultured bacterium. RNAcentral describes it as "bacterial SSU rRNA". It matches the Rfam family "Bacterial small subunit ribosomal RNA", at positions 328 to 792 of the family's 1533-position model. The record is from RNAcentral.
GGACCAGACUCCUACGGGAGGCAGCAGUGAGGAAUAUUGGUCAAUGGCCGGAAGGCUGAACCAGCCAAGUCGCGUGAGGGAAUAAGGCCCUAUGGGUCGUAAACCUCUUUUGUCAGGGAGCAAAGGCGUCCACGUGUGGACGAGAGGAGAGUACCUGAAGAAAAAGCAUCGGCUAACUCCGUGCCAGCAGUCGCGGUAAUACGGAGGAUCCGAGCGUUAUCCGGAUUUAUUGGGUUUAAAGGGAGCGUAGAUGGGUUGUUAAGUCAGUUGUGAAAGUUUGCGGCUCAACCGUAAAAUUGCAAUUGAUACUGGCAGCCUUGAGUACAGGUGAGGUAGGCGGAAUUCGUGGUGUAGCGGUGAAAUGCUUAGAUAUCACGAAGAACUCCGAUUGCGAAGGCAGCAUACCGGCGCCCAACUGACGCUGAAGCACGAAAGCGUGGGUAUCGAACAGGAUUAGAUACCCGUGUA